RNAcentral lists this ribosomal RNA (631 nucleotides) under Colastomion sp. 2 DLJQ-2021a. RNAcentral describes it as "partial 28S ribosomal RNA". It matches the Rfam family "Eukaryotic large subunit ribosomal RNA", at positions 386 to 798 of the family's 3401-position model. The record is from RNAcentral. Lineage: Eukaryota; Metazoa; Arthropoda; Insecta; Hymenoptera; Braconidae.
CCUGAGAAACCCAAAAGAUCGAAUGGAAAGAUUCAUCGUCAGCUCAUUUUGUAUAUAUAUAAAUUAUGAUAUGAGUUACUACUUGUAGUAUUGCUUAUACAUUCUUAUAUAUUUAGUUUCAGAAUGUUGUAGGCGUGCACUUCUUUCCUAGUAGAACGUCGCGACCCGUUGAUUAUCGGUUUACGGCUCAAGUGGUAGUCUUUAAUAUUUUAUUAUAUUAAAGUCCCUUGAUGUUUUCUAACCGGAUAUUCGGCGGUACACGUAAGGUAUUAAGCCGCAAUUAUAUGCGUCUAUUCCCGUCGCAAGCGAGGCUAAUUACUAAUAGUACGGAGUUAGUGCUGUCGUUAGUAAUUGCCAGCUGUUGGUUGUUACGGUGUUCUAGGACUGGCUUAUAAUAAUUACCGGUCGGCGAUGCUAUUGCUUUGGGUACUUUCAGGACCCGUCUUGAAACACGGACCAAGGAGUCUAACAUGUGCGCAAGUCAUUGGGAUUUUUUUAUUAAAAUUAAACCUAAAGGCGCAAUGAAAGUAAAGGUCGUCCUUGCGUCGACUGAGGGAGGAUGAGUUAUAUUAUGAUAUAAUUCCGCACUCCCGGGGCGUCUCAUUCUUAUUAUAAGAAGAGGCGCACUUAG